Molecule: ribosomal RNA, 440 nt
Filed under: uncultured bacterium
Lineage: Bacteria
Description: partial 16S ribosomal RNA
Rfam family: Bacterial small subunit ribosomal RNA
Source: RNAcentral
CCUACGGGAGGCAGCAGUGGGGGAUAUUGCACAAUGGGGGGAACCCUGAUGCAGCGACGCCGCGUGGGUGAAGAAGCGCCUCGGCGCGUAAAGCCCUGUUAGCAGGGAAGAAAAUGACGGUACCUGAAGAAGAAGCCCCGGCUAACUACGUGCCAGCAGCCGGGGUACUACGUAGGGGGCAAGCGUUAUACGGAUUUACUGGGGGUAAAGGGGGCGCAGACGGCGAGGCAAGCCAGGAGUGAAAGCCCGGGGCCCAAACCCGGGACUGCUGUUGGAACUGCGUGGCUGGAGGGCAGGAGGGGUAGGCGGAAUUCCUGGUGUAGCGGUGAAAUGCGUAGAUAUCAGGAAGAACACCGGUGGCGAAGGCGGCCUGCUGGACUGCAACUGACGUUGAGGCCCGAAAGCGUGGGGAGCAAACAGGAUUAGAUACCCGGGUAGUC